UUUCCGUAGGUGAACCUGCGGAAGGAUCAUCAUUGAAUCCAUUCUACAAACCCUGUGAACUGUAUGUAAAAGAGUGUUUUGGCAGGAAGAUUCGGCAGCUAGCCGAGUCGUGUCUCUCUGCGAGGGCUAGCGCGCGUGGUUUACCUUUUGCGCUACUCUUGUGGAUGAGCGACUGCCAUCCGCUCACCUUUAAAUAAAAACGCUUUAAACAAUUAUUACUGAUACAAACAAAUAAACUAAAACAACUUUCAACAAUGGAUCUCUUGGCUCUC
This 272-nucleotide unclassified non-coding RNA is filed under the name soil metagenome. Its description in RNAcentral is "partial contains small subunit ribosomal RNA, internal transcribed spacer 1, and 5.8S ribosomal RNA". The record is from RNAcentral.